AUCCUGACAUUCUAUAACUACAUUCAUCAUCCACCCUCUUCGCUCUCCAUUUCCCUCCUGUUCCCCGCAAGCAUACUCCGUACAAAAAAUAGAAAAUGCAAAUUCCGUUUUGUGUGCCGCAGCAGGCCAUUAUUGCCACAGGAAGUCGUCCGGGGCGGGGGGGCUCAGUGCCCACUGGCUGGUCUGGGAGGUCCCGAUGUCAAAAUAAGUGAGCUAGCUAGUUAGUGAUUGGGCGGCAGCUGGACAGAAGAUAUUAGUUGACUAGUUUAUUCAAAUCAAACAUCGAAAAGGGGGGAUCCUCGUCUGCUGCGACGAUGGGUUCUGGCUGAAGAUGUGCGUGCAGGAUGCGGGCACCUGGGUUGGACUCGGGGUAGUUAAGGCCCUGGUCGUUUGCCUUUUUUUUUUAUAGUUACUAGGGAUCUUUUUGUUUUAUUUUGCGUCAUGAAAUCCGUGUGCACAUAGUAAAUAUUUAAAAGAGCAUAUAUCUAUCUAUAUAAUCUGUACUUCUAUAUAUUAUCUGGUGUAUUCGCUACUGCAAACCGGAGGAUAUCAUCAUUCCCCUUACUCUUCUUAAUGUCUCUACCAGCC
Molecule: small RNA, 588 nt
Filed under: Histoplasma capsulatum
Lineage: Eukaryota; Fungi; Ascomycota; Eurotiomycetes; Onygenales; Ajellomycetaceae
Also listed under: 1 other name
Description: hypothetical RNA
Source: RNAcentral